RNAcentral lists this ribosomal RNA (468 nucleotides) under uncultured bacterium. Its description in RNAcentral is "partial 16S ribosomal RNA". It matches the Rfam family "Bacterial small subunit ribosomal RNA", at positions 28 to 507 of the family's 1533-position model. The record is from RNAcentral.
GACGAACGCUGGCGGCGUGCUUAACACAUGUAAGUCGAACGGAAAGGCCCUGCUUUUGUGGGGUGCUCGAGUGGCGAACGGGUGAGUAACACGUGAGUAACCUGCCCUUGACUUUGGGAUAACUUCAGGAAACUGGGGCUAAUACCGGAUAGGAGCUCCUGCUGCAUGGUGGGGGUUGGAAAGUUUCGGCGGUUGGGGAUGGACUCGCGGCUUAUCAGCUUGUUGGUGGGGUAGUGGCUUACCAAGGCUUUGACGGGUAGCCGGCCUGAGAGGGUGACCGGCCACAUUGGGACUGAGAUACGGCCCAGACUCCUACGGGAGGCAGCAGUGGGGAAUAUUGCACAAUGGGCGGGAGCCUGAUGCAGCAACGCCGCGUGCGGGAUGACGGCCUUCGGGUUGUAAACCGCUUUCGCCUGUGACGAAGCGUGAGUGACGGUAAUGGGUAAAGAAGCACCGGCUAACUACGUG